GAUGAACGCUGGCGGCGUGCCUAAUACAUGCAAGUCGAGCGGACAGAUGAGGAGCUUGCUCCUCUGACGUUAGCGGCGGACGGGUGAGUAACACGUGGAUAACCUACCUAUAAGACUGGGAUAACUUCGGGAAACCGGAGCUAAUACCGGAUAAUAUAUUGAACCGCAUGGUUCAAUAGUGAAAGACGGUUUUGCUGUCACUUAUAGAUGGAUCCGCGCCGCAUUAGCUAGUUGGUAAGGUAACGGCUUACCAAGGCAACGAUGCGUAGCCGACCUGAGAGGGUGAUCGGCCACACUGGAACUGAGACACGGUCCAGACUCCUACGGGAGGCAGCAGUAGGGAAUCUUCCGCAAUGGGCGAAAGCCUGACGGAGCAACGCCGCGUGAGUGAUGAAGGUCUUCGGAUCGUAAAACUCUGUUAUUAGGGAAGAACAAAUGUGUAAGUAACUAUGCACGUCUUAACGGUACCUAAUCAGAAAGCCACGGCUAACUACGUG
Molecule: ribosomal RNA, 497 nt
Filed under: uncultured bacterium
Lineage: Bacteria
Description: partial 16S ribosomal RNA
Rfam family: Bacterial small subunit ribosomal RNA
Source: RNAcentral